AGAUUGAGCUCAGCCUACUCCAGCAACUGGUUGGAGAGGACUGGGACCCAGGAGCCGGGCCAAAAUGAUGGGGCGGGUCUGGAGGCAGGGUCAGAGCCAGGGGGCGGGGCCAGGUGCGGGGCUGGUUCUUCUUGUCAAAAGGCAGACUCGGAGCUCCAGCCGUUCCGAGCUCAGAGCGAGCGUGUUCGGGGACCAGGUGCGGAGCAAGGACCAGGACGGGGCUCAGAGCUGGGACCGGGACCGAGACUGGGACCGGGAUUUGGUGGUGGGUCUUAGUGCUCCAGAGUUGUCAUUGAAAUGGUCCAGCUUUCUCCUGCCUACCACCUCACCCCUGAGUGAUCUCUUGAGCCGAUGACCUCUGCUGAAUCUUCUCUGCCCAAGACAUUCUGGAAGAGAGUUCUUCCUAUUGUACCUCCCACAUCUACUUCUAUUACCCUGCUCUUCCAGGUGGGUGCUUCUUUCCUUCUCACUGGUCCUAAGAGAAUGGCUGGAUCUGCAUAGGAGAAAACUGAG
This 513-nucleotide long non-coding RNA is filed under the name Phascolarctos cinereus (koala). RNAcentral describes it as "lncRNA (ENSPCIG00000032842.1)". The record is from RNAcentral. Lineage: Eukaryota; Metazoa; Chordata; Mammalia; Diprotodontia; Phascolarctidae.